UACAGAGGUCUCAAGCGUUGUUCGGAUUCAUUGGGCGUAAAGGGUGCGUAGGCGGCGCGGUAAGUCGGGUGUGAAAUCUCGGGGCUUAACUCCGAAACUGCAUUCGAUACUGCCGUGCUUGAGGACUGGAGAGGAGACUGGAAUUUACGGUGUAGCGGUGAAAUGCGUAGAUAUCGUAAGGAAGACCAGUGGCGAAGGCGGGCCUCUGGACAGUUCCUGACGCUGAGGCACGAAGGUCAGGGGAGCAAACGGG
This 253-nucleotide ribosomal RNA is filed under the name uncultured bacterium. RNAcentral describes it as "partial 16S ribosomal RNA". It matches the Rfam family "Bacterial small subunit ribosomal RNA", at positions 524 to 776 of the family's 1533-position model. The record is from RNAcentral.